Mus musculus (house mouse) is the source of this 2779-nucleotide RNA transcript. It is a transcript of the gene named isthmin 2, with no coding region annotated. The transcript has 6 exons. The record is from RefSeq and is marked validated. NCBI's taxonomy places the organism in Eukaryota, Metazoa, Chordata, Mammalia, Rodentia, Muridae.
GCUCCCGCCGCUCCUCGCGAGGUCCCCGCGCGACUGGACGGAGCCUGCGCCGCAGCCCGCGCUCCCGCCCCAGGAGGAGGCGAGGCGGGGCGCGAACGCGCUCCCGAGCCCCGCGGCUCUGGCAGAGCAGCCUGGAAGGGACACGAUGCGGCCACCGCCCAGCCGAGCACGGUUCCCGCGCGCCUUGAUGCUGCUGGCCGCCCUGCUGGCCACUGGCCGAGGGCUCCCACUGAGGAAGCGAGGUCCCGGGCCCCACGGCCACUCGAGGAUGGCGGAGGCCUCCCCUGCCCCAGAUCUCAGCUCCCCAAAGGAGAAGAACACAACACCAGGAUUCCCUGGAGACCAUCUGCAGACAGAACCAUGUCAGCCCGGGUGCCAGACCAUCCCUGAGCCAGCAGCUCUGACUCUGGGUACAGCCACAUCUCCCAGGACCCUGGAACACACCCCUCUGCUGCUGGAGCUGCAGAAGCUACCAGGGUUGGCCAACACAGACUUGAGCGCACCAAACCCCAACAUCCAGGUGACCAUCGAGGUGGUGCAGGACCCUCAGACUGAGGUAGAGAUGGACCUGCCUUCUGAGCCCAGCAAUCUCUGGCCCCUGCAUGCCCCUAGCUGGUUGCCCACCAAGGAAUUCUUUUGGCCCCUCUUCUGGGGCUACCAGGAAGGUGAAGAAGGAGCCACCAGCCUCAGAGACAGGGCUCCAGGGGAAGCAGAGGUGGAAGGAGGAAAGGACUAUGCUGUGGAGUAUGGCGAGGGUGAGGACCAAAGGGGAACUGAAGAAGGCGAGGCUGAGGAGCCUUGGUCCAGCGGGGCCAUAGACAACUGGGACUAUGGCUGGUUGGGUCCUCAGGAACAAGACUUCCAACAACCAGACAGCUAUGACUGUGAACCCCAGGAGGAGUGGAGCACCUGGUCUCCCUGCAACGGGAGCUGCGGCAGCGGAUACCAGCAGAGAACGCGACCCUGCGGCUAUGCCUGCACUGCCACAGAGUCCCGAGUCUGCGACCUUGCCCCCUGUCCUGGCCUGUCUCAACUGCUGUGGGCACCAAGAGCCUAGUGAGGGCUGGGCUUCCCUAUCGGGAGCACAGAGUGCCCUGGGGCACCACCAGCCUGGACUCCUCUCUUCCCAAAGGCACCGCAGAGGAGAACACGUUGGGCUUUCCCAGUGAGGGGUGGCAGCCCCUUGCCCACAAUGCAACGGAUAUGCUUGAUCCAGAUGUGGACAGCUGUGAGAAGUGGCUGAACUGCAAGAGUGACUUCCUAGCUAACUACCUGAGCCAAGUGCUCAAGGACCUGCCCAGUUGCCCGUGUGCAUACCCUCUGGAGGCAGUGUACAGCGCCGCCGUGAGCCUGCAGGACGAACAUCAGGGUCGCAGCUUCCAGUGGCGGGAUGCGAGUAGCCCACAAGAGCGCUUGGACAUCUACCAGCCUACUGCGCGCUACUGCCUGCGUUCCAUGCUGUCUAGUGAGAGCAGCACCUUGGCUGCCCAGCACUGCUGCUAUGAUGAAGGCAGCCGGUUGCUGACCCGUGGCAAAGGGGCAGGGGCCCCGGACUUAGUCAGCACUGACUUUUCACCUGAGCUUCACUUCAAGGUAGAUAGGCUGCCCUGGAUCCUGUGUAAGGGGGACUGGAGCCGCUACCACACUGUGCGCCCCCCCAACAAUGGCCGGGCUUGCACAGACAACCCACCAGAGGAAGAGUACCUGGCUCAAUUGCAGGAGGCCAAAGAGUACUAAAGAGGAAUUAGAGCAUGCUCCUUCUGCCCUUUACCCUGCCCCUGCUCAGACUGGGCAACUAUUAGGGCUCAUCUGAGAGGCCGUCAGGCAUGCAUAUCUCCCUCUUAUGACCCUGAGUCAGGAGAACUCAAGCGUCUCAGGGUCUGGUGAGAAGGUUGGAGGGUGUGUCAGGCACAAGGCCUCUGGGAUGUGUUGGGAAGGGGAGGAGCUAUCCCAGUUUGGCCAUGGGUCUUUCCCUCUCUCUAGGAAUGGGGCCCUUCUGCCUUUCCCUCUGUUCGGGAUUGAGCCAAGGUGGUCCAGACACAUCCCAGUUCCCAGGAUCUGUUGUGAAUCCCUUAGACCCCCACCCCACCCACCCAUCUACCCUAGGGCCAGUUGUGGAAGAACACAGGGAGGGGUGGGGCAAGAUAGGACAGUCCUUUCAUCUGACCCUAAAGCUGCUUUUUGCUGGGCUGGCAGAACCAGGGUGACCACCCCUCCUUGUGGCACACAGCUUCUACCCUGUCCCAUGUGGUGAGGCGGUCAGCGGAGCUGAGGGGAGAUUGCUUCCAGUCAGGGAACCACCAGCUGUUUCCCGUCCCCAGAUGAUAGACAUGCGCAGGCUACCACCGCCAUGGCAGCCAGGCUUGGGUUGAACUCAGUACUAAGGGUGGGUUCAGGAGGGAUCAUGCACCUGUCGCAAGUGUGACAGGGCAGAGGGUCCCGAUAUUGGAUGUGGGCCAUUUAUGGUGUUGGUACCCACACCAGUUGCCCACUUAACGCCCCCCCGCCCCCCCACCCCGUGUGGCACCCCUGAAAGCACUGGACUUGGACUUGGGAGAUGGGUGCUUUGGCUCCCAGCACACUGUGCCUUUUCCCGGACACCUCUCAUCCCCAAACCAUACUUUCUUGGUUUCUCUGGAGCUGAAAUAUUGUAGACUUUCUGUUUCUAUUCACAAAUCUCCGAUAGGGGCUUGGUAGGGAACUUGAGUUCCAGCCCCAUCCACAGCUGUCCAGAAGCUGUCCUGGGAUCCUCAGCAAUAAAGCACUUUAUUUUUACAUA